This 215-nucleotide long non-coding RNA is filed under the name Salvia miltiorrhiza (redroot sage). RNAcentral's name for it is "long non-coding RNA (SMIL_LNC009125)". The record is from RNAcentral. Lineage: Eukaryota; Viridiplantae; Streptophyta; Magnoliopsida; Lamiales; Lamiaceae.
CGGCCGUUUUAAUUUCUUUCAACUUUUUUUUUUUUUUCUAUGUGUUCAAGAAGUUGGUGGUUUUAAUCUGUUGUUAAAAUGUUGGGAGUUUAAUAUAUUAGUCACACGUUCAUGGUUUUAGUUUGUUUUAAUAAAUAAUUGAGAGAUGUGUAUAAGAUAUAUAUAGUGGAAAAAUUAGGAUCCAUCAAAGUUGAUUCAUCAGGUAAUUAAUAAAU